This 4510-nucleotide long non-coding RNA is filed under the name Homo sapiens (human). RNAcentral's name for it is "HSALNT0204736". Lineage: Eukaryota; Metazoa; Chordata; Mammalia; Primates; Hominidae. The record is from RNAcentral.
GCACAGGAAAUGAGGUGAUCAUUUACUAUGUUAAUUAAUUAAACACGAAGAUUAAAUACUUGUAAUGGAUAAUAUUGAAUGUCAACUUGAUUGGAUUGAAGGAUGCAAAGUAUCCUUCCUGGUCUGUGAGGGUGUUGCCAAAGGAGAUCAACAUUUGAGUCAGUGGACUGGGAGGGGCAGAUCCAUCCUCAAUCUGGGUGGGUGCCAUCUAAUCAUCUGCCAGCACAGCUAGAAUAAAGCAGGCAAGAGAGGAUGGAAGACCAGACUUGCGGAGUCUUCUGGCCUUCAUCUUUCUCCUGUGUUGGAUGCUUCCUACCAUCGAACAUCGGACUCCAAGUUCUUCAGCUUUUGGACUCUUGGACUUAAACUAGUGAUUUGCCAGGGGUUCUUGGGCCUUUGGCCACAGACUGAAGGCUGCACUAUCAGCUUCCCUACUUUUAAGGUUUUUGGACUUGACUGGCUUCCUUGCUCCUCAGCUUGCAGAUGACCUAUCGUAGGAUUUCACCUUGUCAUCAUAGAUAUAUCCAGCAAAAGAAGGUACACCAGACCUGGUUUAUUACCACAGAUGACCACAGAGGACAUUGAUGAUUCGUUCCUACCAUUGGUGAAAAUGUUCUUGCUGCAUGCUCUUCGACUCCAGUAUAGGUUAAAGACUGGGUCAAGGAUAUUUUUAUGUUACUCUUAUGUAGUGCCUUUGCUGUAAGCUAGGGGAGAUUAGAUAUUUGGUUGCCAUUUUUGUAAACUUGAGCAUGGUUCAUAUACUCACCUUAACAGUCAACAAAAUCUCUAUAGAAAUAGUCUGAGCCAUUUUUGCUUAUCAAUAUUUCUUGAGACUUUUUAAAAAUCACUUCUACUGAAGUUUUAUAAGAUACUACUUCAUAGAAAACCUAUAAAAAGACCAUUUAGACAUAGGGAAGAAGUGUCCAACUUUUCCAUGUUCAUAGUUCAAAGGACUUAAAGAAGCAUUUAAAUGACCCAGCUUUAAAAAUAUAGAUAGAUAGAUAGAUAAAUGAUGGUGACAAAGUGUAAAUAAUUUAUUUACAGGCAUGCUAUUAGUUGGGUCCAACCAGCAUUCCAGUCCAUAGCUACUAGGCUUAAAUUGAGCUAUUUGCCAUUUCUAAAUUCAUUUUAAUCAUUUUCUCUAUAAUAUGAAUAUUUCACAGUAUUUAUAAGCCAUUAAAACAGCACAUUCUACAAUGGGCAAAAAUAUAAUGUGUUCAAUUAUGUUCAACAAUAUCACUCUUUGUUCCUUUAAGGGUGUUACUUUAAGUCAAUUUAUCAAAAUUCAAUUUUAUUAGUUCUCAGAAAAAUCAUAGGCACAUUUACAUUUUAUAAUAAAUUAUCCUUCAAAUUAUCAACUUUAUCAUGUUAGAGAUUGUUUCCAUAUAUAAAAGCCUCUAUUACAAUUUGUAAAACUUCUAAAGGACUAUUUCAUGUAUCAUAAAAUAUUUUUACUGAAAUAACUAUAGAGUAAUGCCUUCCCUGAUUUUCAGAAUUCUGGUAAUAGAUUGAAGUUCAAAUGAUUUAUAGCAAUAUGUUCUAAUUUAUAGUUAUCCAUCAACAGAACCAAAUAAAAUAUAAAUUACUAAGAUAUUCUAUCAAAUAUAAUGCACUUAUAUUUAAGCACACUUAUAUUUAAUAUUCAAUGAAUCAUCACUUGCUGUAAUUUAUCUGAAAUGCUAAAUUUGAAUACAAAAAUAUAAACAAGUAUUGAUAAAUUUAUUCCCACUGAUUUACACUGUAAAAUCCAUAGUUAUACUCAUAAAAAGUUAUUUUAUUAUUUUCAGUGCUUGAGUAAUAAGAGGUUUUUAUCAGAUUCACUGUUUCCCCCAUGAAUAUGUCCAGAAAGUAAAGGAUAAAAUUAGUCAAUAGGAAAUAUCACCUGUUUGUGCCAGGAAACACAUGUAUGUAUUUUAUUAAUUACAACAAUUCUGCUAACUAGUACAGUAUUUUAAAUCCCAUUUCAUAGAUGGGAAAACUGAGGCUUAAAGAAAUGACAUUUCCAAUGUCAAACUCCUACUAAUUUUCAAUUCGACACUAAUUUUUCUCUAACACAUGUGUUCUUUUUCACUAGUAAUUUCUGUCUUUUCACCUUUUAAAUUUAAAAGAAUGUAAAAUAGUCAUACAUAAAUAUUACAGAUAUUGAAGAUGAUUAAGAUAUAUAACAAAAAAAGAACAGUUUUUAAAAUGUGGCAAAUAGAAGAAAUAUAUUAUUUAGCAGCUAUCAAAAAUCGAGAUCCCAUGACACAAAGUCAAGAUUUAACUUUGAAAUAAUCAUGACAGGCAAGUAGUUAGGGAUAUAGAGGACACAAGAUUCACCAUAUGCUUAAUAACUACCGAAGCUGAGCAAUGAGUACCUUAGGUUCAUUAAAUUAAUCUGUUUUUAUACAUGUUUGUAAUCCCCUAUCAUUAGAAAACAUGAGAUAAUUUGGGAUUACCAAGAACACUUACCGAUACAGGAAAAUCCUAUAUUACUAAAGGAAAAGUUAUGAUUGGUUUAUCUCUUUUUGAAUCUAUUUUAGGAAGGAAACAUACCAAAAGAUGUCUUAUAUCUGUGGCAUGAUAUAAUAGAACACAUAUUUUCUUUGUUUUUUUUCUAUUGUUUGUAUUACCCUGCACAUACAUUAUUGCUUUUUUACUCUGAAAAAUAAGCAUAAUUAAAAGCACCAAUUAUUGCAAUUUUUAUUUUAAAGUUUUUAAAUCUUGAAAAAGAAAUUGAGUAAAAUACAAAAUUUGCCAGGAUGAGCUUAUUAACUGAUUAAGAAUAAAAACCCCAAACUAUUUUAUAAUUGUCAUACAUUCAAGACAAUCAAUUUGUUUGAACCUUAAAGGUUAUUCUUGAAUAAAUUGUCUCAAGUUUGGAGUGUGUAUGUUUAACAUAUGAUAUUCAAGUUGUUGACUUUAUCUAAGUUAAUCUUAUUUUCUGAGUACAAAUAACAACUUGUUGAAAUGGUAUUAAAAAGAAAAUAUUGGCCAGGUGUGGUGGCUCAUGCCUGUAAUCCCUGCGCUUUGGGAGGCUGAGGCAGGCAGAUCGCUUGAGCCCAGGAGUUCAAGACCAGCCUGGGCAACAUAGCGAAACUCUGUCUCUACCAAAAAAAAAAAAAAAAAAAAAAAAAAAAAAAAAAAAAUCUGGGCGUGGUGGCACACAUCUGUAGUCCUAGCUACUUGGGAGGCUAAAGUGGGAGGGUCUCUUGAGCCUUGGAGUCAGAGGUUGCAGUGAGCCGAGAUCACACCACUGCACUCCAGCCCAAAUGUCAGAUAAGACCCUGUCUCAAAAAAAAAUUAAAAUUCAUUUAAUAAUUCACGUGAGGUUCAAAAAUCUACAAGAAAAUUAUGCAUUGUUAUCAAAAUUAUAGAGAGAAACAAUACAAAGAUGAUUCAUCAAUAUUGUAUGAACAUUUGUUCACUGCAUACCUGAACUUGUGUAAGUAAAAACAAUGCUACUUUAAAGAAAGACAAAUUACUUUGUCCAGGUAAAACUACUAGUUAAAAGAAUGUGAACAGAUUGCUUCAUGAUAUGAAAGGAAAAUACUGUUUUAAAAAUAAUCUCUGCAUUUGCAUCUGGGGAGAGUUUAUAACUACUAAUGUUUACUUUCAGCUAAAACAUAAUAAGUGAUGGAACUGUCAUUAAUGCUCUCCAAUGGUUUAUUACUAUUAUUGGCCAUUCUUCCUUCCCUUUUUAAUACCUUACUCUCUUGGGUGGGUCAAAUUAAGCUUCUUCAAACUCCAUCUCUCCCUUUGUGUUGUGUCCAACACUAAACAACAUCUUGAUUUUCCCAUGGUUCUCAGGGACCACUCUAGACAGUUUGCUUCAAUAUAAAUUGGACCUUUCUUCAAUGUCACAUGAAAAACGUAGCUGCAUAAUUUCCAUGGUUCAGGGCUCUAGUCUUCAUACUGAGAGGUAUAAAAGCAUCUUAUUUUAGAUUUUACUCCGUGUUUUAGAAGAAUCGAUGUUAACUUACCAUCUUAUGCUGUGAAAUGUAUAAUUUAUAAAUAAUUGACUGUACUUAUUAAUGGAUGUGGGGAUCUUAAAGUAUUGUCCUUUCCUUGAAAUUGAACAGGACAUUCCUUAAAAUUUAGUGUGGUAAAGGAGAAAAGGAAUUAUACUGCAAUAAAGAAUUUCAUGCAAAUAUGAACCUUGAAAGGGCACAAACAUUUCUUUAACCCAAAUAUAUGCUAGAUUUUGAUAGGAUGGUUGUGCUUGGGAAAAAAAUUGUAUCUAGUUGACCAUCUUCCAGACCCUGCACAAAUGCUGCUAUGAAUGAUAAUCAUGGUUGUUGCCAAGGUCACCUAAAAAAUGAUUUAUAGUCCCCUUUCCCCAAAAAUGUAUCAGCUGCUUACUUAGAAAAUUAGGUUUCUAUUCAGUUACGGCACCAAAUCACUUCUGCAUGAUUCUUCUAUUUUUCCUGUACACCAGAACUUGGAAAAUGUAUGUUUCUGCAAAUGUUUAUCCCCUUCUAAAUAGGAACGAUUGAAAAUAAUAAAAGUAUUUUAUAAUCUUAAAAUAAUU